GACAGAGGAUGCAAGCGUUAUCCGGAAUGAUUGGGCGUAAAGCGUCCGCAGGUGGCUGUGUAAGUCUGCUGUUAAAGAGUGAGGCUCAACCUCAUAAAGGCAGUGGAAACUACAUGGCUAGAGUGCGUUCGGGGCAGAGGGAAUUCCUGGUGUAGCGGUGAAAUGCGUAGAGAUGGGGGAGAACACUCGUGGCGAAGGCGGCCAGCUAGACCAGUUCUGACACUGAGGCGCGACAGCGUGGGGAGCGAACAGG
RNAcentral lists this ribosomal RNA (253 nucleotides) under uncultured bacterium. Its description in RNAcentral is "partial 16S ribosomal RNA". It matches the Rfam family "Bacterial small subunit ribosomal RNA", at positions 524 to 776 of the family's 1533-position model. The record is from RNAcentral.